CUACGUUCUAAAGGGUGGGCUGCAUAUCAGGGCAGAGGGUAGGGUGGCCUCCUGAGUGGGCCAGAAAAAGAAAGCAUCAAGAUGUAAUGGUGAAGUUGAGAUGAUGAUCAGAGUCUUACUUCAGACAAAUCAUGAGUCUCAGAGGAAGUGAUGACAGAGAUGUCUGUGGAAACUAUUGAAGAGGAAGGCUUUGCUAAAUCUUCAUGGAGAGAGUCCUUUCUAUGGAGGAGACAUUAUGCUAGAAUUUUCACACAGAUUAUUUUAUUUAACUCCAAGAACUACUCCAUGAAAUAGGCAUGAUCAUCACCUUCAUUGUUUACAGAGAUUCUGGCUUCCCCACUGUAAGAACUGAAGAUACUGCAGCUGAAUUGAUGUCAUGAAAAGGCCUUCAUUCAAUUAGAGUGGGUAUCUUGUGUGGUCUCUAUUUAAUAACUUCCACUUUUGUACAUUUCAAUUUCUGUACGUGCUCUGAGAUAAACAGCCAGAGUCUUUAAGCAAGAGAGACAACAACUAAAAACAACAAUGAAAACUUAGUUACAGCUACAGCGAUAUAUAGGUCUUUAUAAAAGUAGCAGUUCCAUUGUGAAGGCGGUGAUAAAUGUAAAACCAUAAAUUCUGGAAAUAGUCGUAGUAAAUAGAUAGAAACAAGAGUGGUUCACAGA
Molecule: long non-coding RNA, 662 nt
Organism: Homo sapiens (human)
Lineage: Eukaryota; Metazoa; Chordata; Mammalia; Primates; Hominidae
Exons: 4
Source: RefSeq, a predicted model, not a curated record